CCUUUGCAAUGUGCGAAAGCACGACAAGGUUAAUCCGAGUGGUCUCUGCUAAAGAGACCUUUUGUCAGUCCUAAAAGCACUGGCGAAUAAGGGGUGGGCAAGUUCUGGUGUCAGCCGCCGCGGUAAAACCAGCACCUCAAGUGGUCAGGAGGAUUAUUGGGCCUAAAGCAUCCGUAGCCGGCCGUGUAAGUUUUCGGUUAAAUCCACGUGCUCAACGCGUGGGCCGCCGGGAAUACUGCACGGCUAGGGAGUGGGAGAGGUAGACGGUACUCCGUAGGAAGGGGUAAAAUCCUGUGAUCUAUGGAUGACCACCUGUGGCGAAGGCGGUCUACUAGAACAUGUCCGACGGUGAGGGAUGAAAGCUGGGGGAGCAAACCGGAUUAGAUACCCCCGUAGU
This 397-nucleotide ribosomal RNA is filed under the name uncultured Nitrososphaerota archaeon. RNAcentral describes it as "bacterial SSU rRNA". It matches the Rfam family "Archaeal small subunit ribosomal RNA", at positions 347 to 745 of the family's 1478-position model. The record is from RNAcentral. Lineage: Archaea; Thermoproteati; Nitrososphaerota.